GCACAAUUUCCAAUGGUGUUCUACAUAGACUUCAACCUCCUUAGCCAGAUCAUCAUGGAGUCGAUACGAAUGCAGGUUCUAGAGUGGAGCUACCACCAGUCACCUACUCUACAUGGAUGACAUCAAGCUGUCUGUCAAGAGUGAGCGGGAUAUUGACUCACUGAUUCACCUGUGAUAACAGUAAGUGAUUCACACCAGACAUCCCAAGAAUAUUG
This is a non-coding RNA of Pelobates cultripes (western spadefoot toad), 215 nucleotides long. The record is from the annotation of a GenBank genome assembly. Lineage: Eukaryota; Metazoa; Chordata; Amphibia; Anura; Pelobatidae.